CCUACGGGAGGCAGCAGUGAGGAAUAUUGGUCAAUGGACGAGAGUCUGAACCAGCCAAGUAGCGUGAAGGAUGACUGCCCUAUGGGUUGUAAACUUCUGUUAUAUGGGAAUAAAAUGUUCCACGUGUGGGAUUUUGUAUGUACCAUAUGAAUAAGGAUCGGCUAACUUCGUGCCAGCAGCCGCGGUAAGACGGAGGAUUCGAGCGUUAACCGGAUUUAUUGGGUUUAAAGGGAGCGUAGGUUGGUUGGUAAGUCAGGUGUGAAAGUUUGCGGCUCAACCGUAAAAAUGCAGUUGAAACUGGGAGUCUUGAGUAAAGUAGGGGUGGGCGGAAUUCGUGGGGUAGCGGUGAAAUGCUUAGAUA
This 361-nucleotide ribosomal RNA is filed under the name uncultured bacterium. Its description in RNAcentral is "partial 16S ribosomal RNA". It matches the Rfam family "Bacterial small subunit ribosomal RNA", at positions 338 to 696 of the family's 1533-position model. The record is from RNAcentral.